GCGGCCUAUCAGCUUGUUGGUGAGGUAAUGGCUCACCAAGGCAACGACGGGUAGCCGGCCUGAGAGGGCGACCGGCCACACUGGGACUGAGACACGGCCCAGACUCCUACGGGAGGCAGCAGUGGGGAAUAUUUGGCAAUGGAGGAAACUCUGACCCAGCGACGCCGCGUGCGGGAUGAAGGCCUUCGGGUUGUAAACCGCUUUCAGUAGGGAAGAAGCGAAAGUGACGGUACCUACAAAAGAAGCACCGGCUAACUAUGUGCCAGCAGCCGCGGUAAUACAUAGGGUGCAAGCGUUGUCCGGAAUUAUUGGGCGUAAAGAGCUCGUAGGUCGUUUGUUACGUCGGAUGUGAAAACCUGAGGCUCAACCUCAGGCCUGCAUUCGAUACGGGCAAACUAGAGUUUGGUAGGGGAGACUGGAAUUCCU
RNAcentral lists this ribosomal RNA (426 nucleotides) under uncultured Actinomycetes bacterium. RNAcentral describes it as "bacterial SSU rRNA". It matches the Rfam family "Bacterial small subunit ribosomal RNA", at positions 233 to 671 of the family's 1533-position model. Lineage: Bacteria; Bacillati; Actinomycetota; Actinomycetes. The record is from RNAcentral.